Molecule: ribosomal RNA, 253 nt
Filed under: uncultured Anaeroplasma sp.
Lineage: Bacteria; Bacillati; Mycoplasmatota; Mollicutes; Anaeroplasmatales; Anaeroplasmataceae
Description: partial 16S ribosomal RNA
Rfam family: Bacterial small subunit ribosomal RNA
Source: RNAcentral
UACGUAGGGAGCGAGCGUUAUCCGGAAUUAUUGGGCGUAAAGGGUGCGUAGAUGGUUGAUAUAAGUCUUUUGUAAAAAUGCUAGGCUCAACCUAGUAGGGCAAAAGAUACUGAUGAACUAGAGUACGGCAGAGGCAAGUGGAACUACAUGUGUAGCGGUAAAAUGCGUAAAUAUAUGUAAGAACACCGGUGGCGAAGGCGGGUUCCUGGACAUUAACUGACGCUGAGGCACGAAGGCCAGGGGAGCGAAAGGG